This 1364-nucleotide long non-coding RNA is filed under the name Salvator merianae (Argentine black and white tegu). RNAcentral's name for it is "lncRNA (ENSSMRG00000015590.1)". Lineage: Eukaryota; Metazoa; Chordata; Lepidosauria; Squamata; Teiidae. The record is from RNAcentral.
GGAAACAGCCGCUCCGCCCCUCAUGGGGAGGAGAAAGGGAAAAGAGGUGGGGCGCCGAUGGGCCUCGUUCCCUUGCCUGGCGCUGAUUGGUGGUGCGCAAGGCCACGUCAUCCACCUCAGCUCGCAACCCUUGGAGCGAAAAGACAUAGGCGCACGCGGCAGCCCAACGGCUGACUGUCUUCUUCCACCUUAGAUAUACGGGGCUCUUAGUCCGUAUGUUUUGUGUACUGUGCGCGCGCGCGCCCGGGCUGCUUGCCCCCCCCAGUCCCACCCGUUCACAAACCCUUGACGCUCACGUGGUACCAAGCGAGGAACGCGGGAAGGUUCUGCGCACUGUGGAAAUUGGGCCACCAACCCGCGGGUCGNUAGGGGGCGGGGGCUGCUUUCGAAAGUGUCCCGGUUGCCAUUGGUAAUUUAUUGUGACAUCUGAAAUCGGACGUGCUUCGUAAACAUAUAGCAGCUCCGUUAAGGCUUGACGUCUUCAUCCGAAGUGCCAUGGUGCUGAAAGUGACGACGGAAGAAAGUAUUCAGAAUAGGGUUGUCGUAUGAAACACAGGUCAGGAGGAUUCCCGGGACUCUUAGUAGCUCUAUAGAAGAGGGAAGGUCGACACCUGUUGCCUGCAUUACACGCUACGAUUGUGAAUUUCUUCAGCUAUGAAAGCUACGUGAACCCGUGACCUAGAUUUCACGUGGCAAACGCCGCGUCGAGUGAGAGCCUUCGUUUAAGGGAGCGCGUUUUUAAAAUCCCUGUGUAACGUUGAAAACCUUAACGCACGUACAUUUUGUUAACUACUGAAGCUAAUUUGUUAACAGAUGUCAGUGUUUAACGAUUGCCAGCAUGGUGCCCUGGUGUGUGUUUUUGCUGUGGUUUCUAUUUCUCACAAAAAAAACAUGAAAGGAAGAAAGCAGAGUUCUUAGCAGUCCUUUGGAAAGUUCUUUUUUAAGGUUCAGGUUCUUCCAAAUGGAACUGAAAAGUUCCAUCCCCACAAAAUCGUUCCACAGACGUUUCUGAUUGGAACUGGAAUGCAAGAUCAUGCAAAUGUUGACACUCACCUGUAUAUCGAGUGAGAACAAGGAGUGCAGUGCACUGGAUAUUUGUGAAAGCUUGCUGCCGCUGUUACUAGGGCCUGCUUUCAAAGCAUUUUGCAUUGGGUUCUUUCCACAACAUAAUCAUUCAUAUAUCACAGCCUAUUAAUAGCCCCCAAAAGUUCCACACACGUUUCUGACUAGAAGACAAGAUGAUCUAGAAAAUAGUCAAGACAGUAUAUAGUAUGAUUCUACACAUAAUGUGCACUAUCAUGAGGUCUUCGGUGAACCAUAGAUUAUAAAAUAAAAUAAAUAAAGCAGUCUUACCUUUUUUUUAA